Molecule: long non-coding RNA, 11813 nt
Organism: Columba livia (rock pigeon)
Lineage: Eukaryota; Metazoa; Chordata; Aves; Columbiformes; Columbidae
Exons: 3
Source: RefSeq, a predicted model, not a curated record
AGCACAGGCUGCGUGUGCAGUUUUAUAGGUUUUUAUAGAUAGUUUUAUAGACUGAGGCACCAAACCAUAUAGAUAACAGAGGGCAGAUGUUACCAGUACAAUUAUGAUAGAUGCAUAGCUAUAUAAAUAGCAAAAUGCCUGAGAUGUUUUCUGCUCCUUAUUACUCAGUUGCAGAUUUUUAUGGAAUGCUUGAUUCUCAGACAACACAUUGUGUAGUAUAUUUAAUUAUUGUAUUGUCCCUCAUACCUUUCAUUGUGAUAAUUAUUGUUGACCCUCCUAUUGAUUAAUGCACAUGUGUUAACCUUGUUCAUCUGCUCCCCAGAGUUGGCCUACUUGAAAGACAUGCAUCUAUUAGCAGGACUGCGAUCUGGGCUGUGUGCAUAUCCACACAGUGGGUGAGAAAGGCUUCUUUUCCACAAGAAAUGAUGAUGAAAUUCUCGAUAUGAAGUUCAUUUGAGGUUCCACAUGCAUGUCUGCUAAUAGGACUUAAUGAGCCUGCAGAAACUACCUCCCGCAAUAAGUGUUAUUCAGCAAAGAUUUCCUUUGCAUGUAUGCUUCCUACAAAGGGCCCCAAUUCCUGUUGGGAACUUCUGUUUGCUAUUAGAGUGUAAAUAUUAAAUACUGUCUCAAAAAUAAUUGAGAGCAAAUGUGUUUUAUGUGCAGUGCAGAGACUGUACCAUCAGUAAUAGGAAAGGUGAUGCAUUUAUCUAGGCCUCGAAGAGGAAAGAGGACACCAGUGAGUACUGACACACUGAUUGUUGCAUAUACAAAGAGUUAUAAUUAUUAAUUUAUUAACUUGGCACCAGGAUUAGAUCCAUUACUUAUGUAGAGCUCCAAGCUAUGCUCUGCCAAAAAGAUGAAACCACCCUCCCCUGGCAAUGUCAAGACAUCUAUAAUUUAGAGAAAUUAGAUAGUUACAGCUGAAAAAAAAUGCUUAAGAUUCCUGUAUAAAAAAAUUCUGUGUGCUUGUAGGAUACCUUCUAAGCACUGGAUCAUCCCCUGCUGAGGCACAAGAGGGCAGGAAGAAUCGUGGAUCUUUCCUUACUGCUCCAAGACUGUUUCUAUGGAAAAUGGAAAAUUGCAAAUUGCAUAUUUUAAUGACAAAAAGUUGCUCUUCUGUUCGGUAGAAAUCAGGGCACUUGAGACCGAGGGCAUCUCCUGCGAGGUGCACGCGGCACGUGUGCGGUGGAAAUUUCCCACGUACAUUUACAAAGCUGUUGUACCGGUAGAAAUAGUAAGAAGAAGCUGAGCAGCAGCACUGCCAUUGCCAUAGUAACUCAGCUCGGGAGUUGAUGAUGAUGAUUCAGUUGUUGGAGCCUGCUUUAUCUUUUUCCAUUUCAAGCUCAAAUUUUUGCCCUGCUAAGAAACAAGAUAUGAAAAGUGAAGUCUUCAGGCUGCCUCAGAAUUCAUAAUGAGAUACGAUUCCUUUUGAUCUCCUCUCCUUUUUGCAUAGAGAUUUAUAGCCUUAUCAUAAAUCAUAAAACAAUCAUUAACUUUGAAACAUUUCCCCCCCACACACAGUCUAUAUACAUCUAAUAAAUAUUGAGGAAUUAAGUCACUUUUCAGCCUACUAAAAUAUUUUUACUGUGCACUAGUUAAUCAUCAGUACCAGGAGGAACACAUAUUUGACAUGGUCCGGUGCUGUCACUCUUUUACUCCUCUUGAUGUCUUUUACAAACCAGCAGUAUUGCUGCAUUACGUAUAAAGAUAAAUUUCAUAACGAGUAUGUAACGCUGUGGAAAGACAUUAUACAUUCUAAAGGGCCUCAGAAAACCCACAGAACACAGUAUUUUCUUAGGCUUUUUCUUGCUCUGCUCCCUCCUGGAAACCAGCAGCUCUUCAGGCAGCCGCAGAGGCUGCAGAUUCAGCAGAAGCCCCUGGGCUGCAGGAGCUGCCAAGGCAAAGGUGGGCACGGAGCCAGGCCCCUGGGUCAGACCUGCGGCUUUCUUCAGAGGGGAGCAAGGAGCUGCCCUGGGGACGGUGCCACCCAGCACAGCUGGAUUCCAGCAUCCCCUGACACAGCACAAUGCAGGCACGGGGCGAACUUCAGGAAAGGUUCUGGGUCUUGGCAAAUUGCAUUGUCUUUGAAAUAAUUCUAAAUGCAUUUGGAAUGUUCUAAGUGGUGCAGAUGGCAUCUUAUGCUGUUGCUUCUAACAAGGUUGUAGGAGAAACAUGAGAGAAGCUGUGAUUCUGCAGGCAGUGGUGUGCCCAUGCAUCCCCCGGGGCUGUGUGAAGGCACAGCCAAGCGCUUAUCUGGAGACGCUCAGACUUUCUGUCACUACGCAUAACAAAUCAGAUUCCUUCCUAUCAGCAUGUGUAUUUCGGUUUCCUCCUUGUAUCAAUAUAUAUCAAAUAAUAAAUACUGUUCUCUGAAAGUUAUUAUUGAAAUUAUUCUAAUAGUAAGAGUUUCAACUAUACUUUGUUGUUUCUGGUGGAUAUGUGUCUAACUUGCUCUUAGAAGUUCUCAGCAAUAGUUUCUAUAAUCUCCUCAACUAAAUUAUUUCUCCACUCGUAAUAAUCUUUACUAGGUGUUUGGUAUGAACUUUGUGAGCAAAAGUGGUAAACACAUUACUUCUUGUCCUGUUCACCAUAGAUGUGAAGAACAGAAUGCCGUUUUUGUCUUUGUAGCAACUUUUUAUGCACUUGAAUGUUGCCCUCUCCUUAUCUCUUAGGUAUGCCUAACACUUGUAAUUUGUGCAAAAUUUUGUUUUGAAGGUCUGACUUCGUAGUCCCCAUCACACCUACAGCAGCUCUAAGUGGCAUCCAAAUGUGGACACGCUAUUGCAGUUGAGCCCGUGCGAGCUGAAGAAGUACCUCACGUUUAGUGUCUAUAGAAACCAUUACGUGGGUUUUUUCUGUUCAUAUGACAGUGGAGUCAGCUUGUGUUUCACAGCAGUCCCAAUCCUUUACUGCAGAAUGCUACCUAACAAGUUUUUCUUCAUCCUGUACAGCUCGUUAUUCCUUCAUUAAUUUUCAUUUGUCCAUUUUAGAAAAACAUCCUGUUAUACCAAGAUGACAUAAUUUCUUAGGAUGGUUUUGUAUUCUAAGCAUUCUCCAAAGCACUGCCAGUCUCAUUCAGCUUGGAGUUAUGUGCACAUUAAUAAUAUACUCCUUAAUUCAUCAUGCACGCUAUUAAUGGAGCUGCUUGCCAGACCCAGGGCAGAUCCCUGAGGACCAUGCUGAAAUAUAUGCUGCCAUUUUUGCAGCAAACCAUUGAUAACUGUCGUUCCGAUAUGAUUUUGUAACUGGUUUCGCACCCAGUCAACGAUAUUUUCAUCUCUAUUGUGUGUCCUUAGUUUGCUUUGAGAAUGCACUGUCAGUAGAGUGUCAGAAGAAGUGCUCAAAUCAAAAUAUAUUACUUUAGCUGUUUCUCUCUUACCCAAAGGCCUGUCACCCUGUCACAAAGGAAUUUAUAUUGGCUUGACAUAAUUUAGUCUUAACUAAUCCACAUUGGCCGUUAGUCAUCUCCUGUUCCUCCGGAUGCUUACAGAGAUAGUUUGCGCAAAAGUGAUCAUUUCGGUUAGGACUGGGGGGAACUGAGAGGAGGCCAGCAUCGUGGCUGGCUCCCCAGUGAAUGUUGGUGGAUAUUAGCAGAAUAAAGUCUGCUUUUCUAGGCUUUUCAGCCCAGUUGCCCUUCAGACUGCAGCAGGGCUGCUGCUGCCCAGGCGGUCAGUGUUGGGGCUGCGUCUGGCACGUUCCAUCAACUCCUUCCAAUGCGGCCUCAGUCUUCUUAACCUCUUGCAUCUCUUUACAAAGCUGAGAUCUUUCACAGUUGUCACCGGUGGUAACCACUUGAUUGGCAAGUGUUCUUUUAGUAAAAUUAAACUUGACAGCAUAAUUUGUUCAUACCCACUGUGUGGUAGACCAACAGUUUGGGUUCUUCUCCUGUUACUGAAGUACUCCAUGUGUCCCUUUGCUAAAUGCAGCAUUUUUUAUUCACUUUUAUGAGAGUAAUACGUUUUUAUUGCAAUUAAAAUCUGUUAUCUGAUAGUCGUUUUAGAGAAAAUUUGCAUUGAAGUGUUAGCUGAUGCGUUUUUGACUAAAACACAAGAGCUUAAUCUGUAUAUUCAUGUCAUUCCAUUUUAAAACAUAAGGUCUGAUACAUUUUUUUUCAGAAAGUGGGCACCUUGAAGAUGAGAACACCAUAAACCUAUAUAUAUAUGUAUAUAUAUAUAAUAUAUGUAUUUUUCUAGGAAUAAAGUGUGUAUGUGUGCUUUUUUAAUAAUAAAUUCAUCAAAAUAAAUGUAAUGAAGCUAUUUAAUUAUAUACUUGAUUUUAUCCCUUAAAAGAAAGAAAAUGGGUUUUGGUGUUAGGUAGUAAAUGUAUAGCAUUAUUUGAAAAGACAAAGUAAUGAAUAACUAUGGUGUCCCUGCAUAGCAUUACAAAUUAUGUCUGCUAACAUCACUCCUGCUAAACAGGAGUAGAAAUCCUUCCUCCCUAUCAAAACCAGAAAAUAGGUUGUCUUUAGAAGGAAUGUCUUCUGGCAGGUGUUCAUCUUAUAAGAGAAAUGCAGUAAAAAUGCUGAAGUUAAUACAUUUUUUUGAAUAAAAGGGAAAAAGCUAGAAGCUAAAAUACCACACUGAAAGGUCUUCCAUAUUAAACAGGCAUAAAAGCAAUGCUGUGCUGUCAAGCUUUACCUGGAAAUUUUGGGGGUAAAUAUAUUUUUUCCCUUUGGCUUUCAAAUUCGUAUUUAUUAUAACACAAAAACUUAAGCUAAUGAAAGCUGAAGAAAGGCCACAGGAGCCGAGGCGAAAGGGCUGUGUGACUGUGUCCCCUGGCCAGCACUGCUGGCGUGGCAGAGCACAGAGGGCAAGGUCACACAUGCUGGGAUAUGUUUGCAAAAUACCUUCUCAGCCUGUGGGAAUUUGUAGGUCAAGGGCUUUCCGCAGCAGAGGUGAAGUCAUACUUUGCAGGUCUAACUGGAUUUUGAGCUAUGAAUUUUCCCUGUUGUUUUCUGCAGCCAUCUCUACACUCUCGAAGUCUGUCACCUUCUGCAGAACAGUGUUCCACGGCUUAAUUAGAUGCGAGGUGACAUCACUACUUUUGAUUGAAUUUUUUCUUUGACAUGGUGACCUAAACACUUGGCAUCAUAAUGCACUAGCACUCAGGCAACUCGCAUGGUGCCCUGAAUAACCUUGUAUCAUCAGCAACAUUUGUCUCCUCUCUGGUCACUGCUUUUUCCUCUGACCGACUGCUCAUUUGUCAGCUGCACAAAUCUGUCUGGGAUAGAAGAGGCUCCUCUGUCAUCCUUAAGCUCUUCCUUCCCCUGCCUGCUGCUUUUCCCCCACCUCUAACACCGAAGAGCUGGGACUGGGGUUGCUGCAGCCACAGGAUGUUGCUGGCAUGUUCCCCGACUGAUCCAUGUGCUGCAGCACUGCCAGCCGGCGUUGCCGAGGGGAAGGACAUCUGUGUGUCCUACAGACUCAGGCACGGGUGGAAAAGGCACCCGAGGAAGGUUGUAGCUGCUAUUCCAUUCCCAGAGCUGAACAACGAAUGGGCAGCCUUGCUGCCUUUUGUUCUCUCCUGAGAUGACUGAACUAAUGAAUUAUAUGCGUUGCCUCCAGUUAAAAGUUUACUCUGACACCUUGAUGCGUACCAGGUGAGCUGAGUUUCUCCAUUUGAAGUCACAUGCAUUUUAAAAUAAUUAAGGCCAAUUUUGAAAGAAAAAAAAAAAAAAAAUAAGUGAAUUAAUUGUGCCAGAAAAAAGUCAUCAUGCAGUUCAUUUUAACAAUAUGGCUAAGAACUCCCUUAUUUGCUUUGAUGGGUCACAUGAAGGUGCUUCUACUAUUAAGACUGGAGAGCACAGAGAAGGGAGCUCAUAAACACUGAGUUAUGCAUUCUGUGUUUGCUGCUCAAAAUAGUUAUAAGCCUGGAUGUUUUGUCUGCCUGAAUGCAAUGCCUUCUUUCCUGUUUUUAUUCUUUAAUUAUUCCUACUACUGUUUAUCACUUUCUGAAGUCAGGGGAUCAUAUCAGCAUUUAUAAAAGUAGCAACACCAUAUUAGUGUAUUAGCAUUAUUUUUUUCAUGCAUCUAAAAAUAUCAGAAACAUUCUAAUUUAAAAGGUGAGAUGGAGCAUUACUUUAUCUAAAUACUUCUCAUUCCACGAGACUUCUAUUUACAGGCUGUAGGCUAGCAAAGUUAAUCAAUUAGUUCUUUGGAACUUGGAUGGCUAAAAGAUUUGACUGAGACAGAGUCUUCCCCUGCUAAGUCGCUGAUUCAAAUCAAAGCUCAGGUUCAGUUAAAUAUUUUAAUAAUUUCAUUAACUAAUAAUUAAUAGUAAUUUUGAAGCUGUUCGACAGUUUCUGUCUUGAAAUAAGCGGGGUUGUCACAAUCUGGUCGUCAGCAGAUCACAGUUGUCCAGACUAUCAAAUUUGGUAGAUGCAACAGAGAAAAUGAAGAAAAUCACCCAAGCAAAUUACUUUUAUAGAACAAGUUUUGAGGCAGCAGGAGGGCAGUCUGGCCCAUGCUGUGAGCUUGGUGCAACCAUGAUGGUGAAUCAAGGAGCAGCUGCAGCUUUCCUGCUGCUGCGGCCUGACCACAGACCUCACGGGCCACCUCUGUCCCCCUUUUAAAUCUGCUCUCAGUGUGACUCGGGGUAGGGAUCUGUCAGAGCUGAGGUGCCCCUAGUACAGAGGCGCUAGUCUGAGCAUGCUGUGGUCUGUUGGAAGCCUCCUGCAAGCCAAAAGCAUAGCAUAGUGCUGGUCUGCAACCUCCCACAACGUUUUAAAAGUGAAAAAGUAAGAAAAAUAAAUGCAUAUAAUUGUUUUUUCUGCAAAGCUGUUCUCAGUCCGAUGUCAUCUGUCUUGUCUUUUGUAAGACCUUUGACACAGUCCCACAUAGCAUCCUUGUUGCUAAAUUGAAGAGAUAUGGAUUUAAUGGAUGGACUACUUGAUGCGUAAGUAAUUUUCUGAAUGACUGCAUCUAAAGAGUUUCAGUCAAUGGCUCAGUGUCCAAAUGGAGAUCAGUGGCAAGUGCUGUCUCUCAAGGGUCCACAUUGGGACCGUUACUGUUCAAUAUCUUUAUUAAUGAUACAGACAGUGGGAUUGAGUGCAGCCUCAGUGAAUUUGUGGGUGACACCAAGCUGAGUGUUGCAGCUGAUACUCUUGAGAGAAUGGAUGCUACCAGAGGGACCUUGAUAGGCUUGGGAAGUGAGUCUGUGAAGUAAAAGAACGGCAAGUGCAAGAUCCUGCACCUGGGUAGCGGCAAUCCCCUGUACCAAUACAGACUGGAGAGUAAAUGGAUUGAGAGCAGCCCUGAAGAGAAAGAUUUAGGGGUACUGGUGCAUGAAAAAUUGGACAUGAGCUGGCAGUGUGCACUUGCAGCCCAUAAAGCCAAUUGUAUCCUGGGCUGCAUCAAAAGAAGCAUGUCCAGCAGGUCGAGGGAGGUGAUUCUGCCCCUCUGCUCUGCUCUGGUGAGACCCCACUGGGAGUCCUGUGUCCAGCUCUGGAGCCCUCAGCACAGGACAGACAAGGACCUGUUGGAGAGGGGACAGAGGAGGCCACAAAGAUGAUCAGAGAGCUGGAACAGCUCUGCUGUGAGGACAAGCUGAGAGAGUUGGGGCUGUUCAGCCUGGAGAAGAGAAGGAGCCCUUACUGUGGGAUUUCAAUAAGGGGAAUUUAUAAGAAAGACUCAGAGACUUUUUACCAAGGCCUGUAGUAACAGGACAAGAGGCAACAGUUUUAAACUGAAAGAGAGUCUGCUUAGAGUUGACAUAAAGAAGAAAUUUUUUACGAUGUGUCACUGUGUCACCACAGUGGUGACACACUGGACGAGGUUGCUCGGAGAAGUUGUGGAUGUCCCAUCAUUGGAAGUGUUCAACAACACUUGCGCUUUUUCAACAACAAUGGGGCUUUAAGCAACCUGAUCUAAUGAAAGAUGUCUCUGCCCAUGGCACAGACAGGUCCCUUCCGACCCAGACAGUUCUAUCAUUUUGUGGUUCUAUGAUUUUCUGCAGAACCUUUAAACAGGUGAAUGGGUAAGGCAGAUACAUAAAUUCACUUUUAAGAUUAGAGGAUGUUAAAUCUUUUCCAAAAAACAGAUUAAUCCAUCUCAACAAAAUCUCAGACCUGAAGAAGAUCUGGGUGUGUUAUUUGCCUGCACUUGUAGUAUGAAAGGAAUAGAGUGGGCAGUCAAAAUUCUGAAUUAGCAAGGGAGUGAAAAGAUGAUAUAACAGAACAGCAGAAAAAUUUUAAUGGACUUUGGUUUACAUUUUGAGUAAGAAAAGUACCCAGGGAGCUGUGUGACAGACUGUGUUCUCCAGCACCCUCUCCUGGUUGGCUCAAGAGCGGCAUUACAGCCUUGAAGUGUCAGCUCCUUUGGAGGAGGUGAAGGUGACAGACCGUAUAUACAUACAUUGUGAACGGAAAGUCAAAGUAGGAAUGAAAUGGAUGAGGGAAUCAAAGUUAUUUUCCUUUUUCCCAGCAACCCCGAGCCUACCUACAGGAUUGGAGUUAAAUUUGUCAUAAAUUAAUAUUCGUGGUCAGCUUACUGGGCUGUGUGGGAAAUGAAAUAAAACAAUUGCGUCUUCACAGGCUCAGAAACAGGUUCAGAAUACGCACCUGGGGCAUGUUGAGAAGCCACAGUGCUGGUGCAGCAGAGGAAAAGGCAAACCAGUCGGUUCAAACAAGUCCACCUGCCCCUGCCUUGCCCAGCGGUGGAGCUUCCAGUCACUAACCACAGCAUGGGGCUUUUAGCUGUAAUUCUGGAAGUGGUGGGAGCGGUAAAACAGAACCCGUGUACUGCCAACGUCAGUCUCAUGCCUAACAUGAAUAAUUUCUACAAAGUGUGUGCAACGGAGAGAAAGAACACUUUCUAAUCAGGUAACUGCUGGCUUCAGUUGCUCAUAUACUCCUAAAAAGCAACAACUAUAUAUUGAUCUUUCGUUUCAUUUGGUGCAUGCCGUUGCCAAAGUGUUAUGAAAUGAAAGACAAGGCUCUUAACAUCAGGCAGUUUUAAGAAAAUGUCAACAAAUUCUAAAUUGUAAAUAUAUGUCAAAGAAAUGGAAGUUAAAUGUUUUUCAUGACUUCAAGGUAUUUUGUAGAGAUGUUUCUAUUUAAAGAUGUAUAUAAUAUUUAAGAUUAAAUGAUUGUUAUAUUAAAAUAUAUAUGCAAAUAAAUACACAUACAAAAGAUUACAUCUAAAAGAAAGAAAAUAUGCAUUUAAAUUAUUAGGAUGACGUAAUUUUCAAGUCUUUUGACAGCCAGUUUCCCGUAACAGCAAGAUUAAGCCCAAUGGAUGGCAUUAGUGUAUCAGAAAUUUGCUAUCUUUGAUUGGUGGCUAUUAAACAUCCUUAGAAUAUUGGUCUGAAGAAUAACAUAUAAAAAAUGAAAGUAUGUUGUUUACUGAAAUGGCACCUCAGUGAUUUCAGACAGGUAUUGCAGUUCACAUCUUUCCUAACUGAAUCCAUAUGAUGAUGCUUAUAUUUGUCCCAUGGUCCAGUGACUUUAAUUCAGCUAUGGGCAUAGGAAGGGCUGCACCAGGAAGAACCACACUCCAAUGCCAUGGAGAUAUUUCAGGGGAACUACCACCGCUGAUGCUUGGAAAAGGGAAAUGUCCAGAGACAGUCUAGCCCUGCUCAACUUCGGGAAGGGGCAAGCAGCAUGAUGAGCUCCAUGACGCCAUCCAAGUGGAGAGAUCUCUCAGUGAUCUUUGCAGUGGGUGGUGGGUUCCUGUGGUUGUACCGCUAUCUUCUCUAGCUUCCCAUAGCUCGUAGCUACUGACAUCUUCAAAGUGUCUAACAAAAAAUCAAUUGAGUUGACUCUUCUGUAAAUAGAACUGUUUCAGUUCUUUAAGUGUCUCCUGAUAUAUAAAAUUUACUUUGGACAAAGGCUUUAGGUGCUAUGGGAGGAGGGAGGCAGAUGAGAUGACCUAAAAAUUAUGUUUCUGAUAAAUGAGAGAUUCUGAGAAAUUUUUUAAAUGAGCAGUGUGUAAAUUGCAACUGCAGUUUUAUCAUUUUAUUUAGCAGUAUUGUAGUCAUUUUGUCUUCAAACAGAUGUAGUAACUUUGGUCACAAUUUUUUAACAGGAAAUGCUGAAUCUGAAGUAAAAAUAUCUGUAUCCCUAAAUUCUUCAGUGGUUUGUGUAACUUGUGAGAUCUUAAUAUCAAUAGAAAAUCCUAUAAGCACAUAUACGUAUAUGUAAAACUCUCUCCAUAUGCAUAUACAAAUACAAAGUCAAUUCAAGCUGGCAUAAGAAAAUGAACUUUUUUCAGAAUCAUUAGAUCAGUCUUGCACUCAGACUAAUUAUAGUCGCACACCAAUGUCUGCAGACAGGUUAAUUUGACAGUAAAUCACACCCCUUGUGCUGCAUGAACAAUGGGAAAGAAGAGAUUUUUCCUACUGCAUAUCUAUUUCAACUGUUGGAGAAGCUGUUACUAUGUGAGUAGGAAUAAAAAUUUUAGAGAAAUCACAUUUUUUGUAAUUGUGCAGGGGAAGAGUAAGUCCCUUAAAGAUUCACCUACUCUGGGGUUAGGGAGAUGAAUGCAACUGUCAAAUGCAUUAAUUACUGAUCAGCCUCAAGGGACCAAGCUGGUAGCAACAACUGCUUCAUGAGACAGGUGACAGGUUGAAACUGAAGAGCUCAGAGACCAGGCAGAACCUGGCUCUGACCAGAGCUGCUCAACACACCAGCCUUGAUGGGCUCCAUUGGAGACCCUGAUCUGUCUCAGCUGAUCUUUCUUGGUGGGCAAGAGCUCUGUUCAUUCUUUUAAUAGACUCUGAGAUUGCCUAUGAGUUGUGCUAGAAAUUUUUGCUGAUCAAAAUAAAUGUAAGAAUUAAAACUACAUGAAGAACAGAGUAUAGUUAGUGGCAAUUAAUUUGAUAACCUAGGGUGCUGCAGAAUUCCCUGCAGUAGUUAACAUUCCUUUGCCAAGCUUUCAGUAUUGAGAUAGAGGGUAAUAACUUCCAUCUCAUCCAACACUUAAAUAAAAACUGCAGUGUUAUCAUUGAAUUAAUAUAAAGCAUUAUACAUCAGGUUCUAUUUUAAGGAUAUUUUUUUGUGUUUGGUUUGUUUGUUUGGGUUUGUGGUGGUGUUUAGUUAGUUAGUUAGUUAGUUUGUUUUGUGUGUGUGUGUGGUGUUUUUUUGGUUUUGUUUUGUUUUGUUUUUUAAUAAUGAUCAGAUCUGUUACACCUUGCUUCUAAAUCCCGCAUAUGCAUUCAAACCAACAGCACUAAUGCUUUUCAGAAAUACUGCAGAAAUGUCAUUCAGGAAAAAAAUGCAGUGCUACUCUCAAUUUUACAGAAUUUAAUGGUAUUACAACAGUUUCCAGGCUCUCAAUUUUGAAAUAAAUUCACGGAAGUACUACUAUUUGAGUGACCACUGUACUUCACACAACUUAAAUUAACUAUUGUUAUUUAGGGUCGAAGUCAAUCUCAUGAAUAAUAUUGUCAAUUAUAUUCUUGCUUAGGUUUAAUGAUAAAUGAUCUUUCAAAUCUUACUGUUCUACAGAACUGUAGUAAAAGUUCACUCAAUUUGAAUGUCUUGUCUGCAUGCUAAAUUCCUCUUUCUGUAAGAUUUUAAAGGAUUUAAGAUGAGUUUACUGUUCAGGUGCUCUGCUUCUAGGCAACAUGAGCCAUACAACCUUUGAAAUGCAUGCAGAGGAAUUUACUGCUUUCUGUGGAAAGCACUGCGUGGAGUUUUUGGUGUAUACAUACCAGCAGUAGUGCUGUGAUAAUAAUUAAAGUGGUGGUUUGAUGUAGACGUUUGGUAAUCACAUAGUAUUUAUAAAAAAUGCAAAUAAGAUUCUGAUGCAAAAUGUUUUAGGUUAUUUACUUUAGGAAGAGGGAAUAUGAAAAAAGAAGCAGUAUUUCACAUCCAU